RNAcentral lists this ribosomal RNA (496 nucleotides) under Uroteuthis chinensis. RNAcentral's name for it is "partial large subunit ribosomal RNA". It matches the Rfam family "Bacterial large subunit ribosomal RNA", at positions 1807 to 2556 of the family's 2925-position model. The record is from RNAcentral. Lineage: Eukaryota; Metazoa; Mollusca; Cephalopoda; Myopsida; Loliginidae.
CCAAAAACAUCUCUCUUUGUAUAAUAUAAAUAAAGAGUUGGGCCUGCUCGGUGAAACGUUUUAACAGCUGCGGUAUUUUAACUGUACUAAGGUAGCAUAAUAAUUUGCCUUAUAAUUUGAGGCUAGAAUGAAUGGUUUGACGAAGGUUAAUCUGUCUCUGCUUUAUUUUUUAGAAAUUAAUUUUCAUAGUGAAAAAGCUUGAAUUUCUUAAGGGGACGAGAAGACCCUACUGAGCUUAUAAUUUUAUUAUCACAUAUAUUUAUGUAUAAUGUGCUAUAUAAAUUUUAAUUGGGGUGAUUAAGGAAUAAUAUAGCUAUUUUAUAACUUCCUUAGAUAUUAUAUUGUUGAAUUAAGUAACCGAUUAAUUAAUAGAAUUGUAUUAUGUAUUGCUUAUAAUAUAGUUACCAUAGGGAUAACAGCGUAAUUUACUUAGAGAGUUCUUAUUGAAAAGUAAGAUUGCUGACCUCGAUGUUGGAUUAAAGUGACCUUAAGGUGC